Bombyx mori (domestic silkworm) is the source of this 378-nucleotide long non-coding RNA. RefSeq lists it as uncharacterized. The transcript has 3 exons. The record is from RefSeq and is a predicted model, not a curated record. NCBI's taxonomy places the organism in Eukaryota, Metazoa, Arthropoda, Insecta, Lepidoptera, Bombycidae.
CUAUUGUUGGCUUGGCUGCCACAAGUUGCUUAUUUGCAAAUUUGAGUAUUACUAUCAAUACAGUUUGCAUUAUGCUAAGUCCAGCAAACAAGGGCCAAAUAUAUUAUGAAGUUCCAAGCCAGUUACUUUUACGAGAAGCUUGGAGGGUGAUGAUACAAAAAUGUCCUUGAAAUUUCUUACUUUUUAAGAUGGUGAUAUUGUGAUGUUUAUCACUUAGAUCUCUGGUUAUCACUUAGAACAGAUUAACUGUAAUUUGAAGUCUGUGUGAAGUUGUGAGAAGUUGAAGAUUCUUAAGAGACCCCACUAAGGGUCUAAUAAGGUUCAUUAUACACAUCACUGCUGAGUUUAAUACUCUAAACUUUUUAAUUUAAUAUUUUA